GUCAAAGCGUUCAUUAAAGUCGAGUUGGCUUAGGGAUACGUUCGUUGGGUAGGGGAGCGUUCUGUAAGCCUGUGAAGGUGUGUCGUGAGGCAUGCUGGAGGUAUCAGAAGUGCGAAUGCUGACAUAAGUAACGAUAAAGCGGGUGAAAAGCCCGCUCGCCGGAAGACCAAGGGUUCCUGUCCAACGUUAAUCGGGGCAGGGUGAGUCGACCCCUAAGGCGAGGCCGAAAGGCGUAGUCGAUGGGAAACGGGUUAAUAUUCCCGUACUUGGUGUUACUGCGAAGGGGGGACGGAGAAGGCUAUGUUGGCCGGGCGACGGUUGUCCCGGUUUAAGCGUGUAGGUGUGUGUUCCAGGUAAAUCCGGUUCACUUUAACACUGAGGCGUGACGACGAGGCACUACGGUGCUGAAGCAACAAAUGCCCUGCUUCCAGGAAAAGCCUCUAAGCAUCAGGUAACAUCAAAUCGUACCCCAAACCGACACAGGUGGUCAGGUAGAGAAUACCAAGGCGCUUGAGAGAACUCGGGUGAAGGAACUAGGCAAAAUGGUGCCGUAACUUCGGGAGAAGGCAC
Molecule: ribosomal RNA, 570 nt
Filed under: Salmonella enterica subsp. enterica serovar Typhimurium
Lineage: Bacteria; Pseudomonadati; Pseudomonadota; Gammaproteobacteria; Enterobacterales; Enterobacteriaceae
Description: partial 23S ribosomal RNA
Rfam family: Bacterial large subunit ribosomal RNA
Source: RNAcentral